RNAcentral lists this ribosomal RNA (497 nucleotides) under uncultured bacterium. RNAcentral describes it as "partial 16S ribosomal RNA". It matches the Rfam family "Bacterial small subunit ribosomal RNA", at positions 28 to 507 of the family's 1533-position model. The record is from RNAcentral.
GAUGAACGCUGGCGGCGUGCCUAGUACAUGCAAGUCGAGCGAACGGACGAGAAGCUUGCUUCUCUGAUGUUAGCGGCGGACGGGUGAGUAACACGUGGAUAACCUACCUAUAAGACUGGGAUAACUUCGGGAAACCGGAGCUAAUACCGGAUAAUAUUUUGAACCGCAUGGUUCAAAAGUAAAAGACGGUCUUGCUGUCACUUAUGGAUGGAUCCGCGCUGCAUUAGCUAGUUGGUAAGGUAACGGCUUACCAAGGCAACGAUGCAUAGCCGACCUGAGAGGGUGAUCGGCCACACUGGAACUGAGACACGGUCCAGACUCCUACGGGAGGCAGCAGUAGGGAAUCUUCCGCAAUGGGCGAAAGCCUGACGGAGCAACGCCGCGUGAGUGAUGAAGGUCUUCGGAUCGUAAAACUCUGUUAUUAGGGAAGAACAUAUGUGUAAGUAACUGUGCACAUCUUGACGGUACCUAAUCAGAAAGCCACGGCUAACUACGUG